CAAGAUGGUGUGUGUCCAAGAUGGUGGUCCUUAUCCAAGAUGGCAGUGUGUGUCCAAGAUGGUGGUGCUUAUCCAAGAUGGCCGUGUGUGUCCAAGAUGGUGUGUGUCCAAGAUGGUGGUGCUUAUCCAAGAUGGCGGUGUGUGUCCAAGAUGGUGUGUCUCCAAGAUGGUGGUGCUUCUCCAAGAUGGCCGUGUGUGUCCAAGAUGGUGUGUGUCCAAGAUGGUGGUGCUUCUCCAAGAUGGCUGUGUGUGUCCAAGACAGUGUGUGUCCAAGAUGGUGGUGCUUCUCCAAGAUGGCCGUGUGUGUCCA
RNAcentral lists this long non-coding RNA (310 nucleotides) under Pan troglodytes (chimpanzee). RNAcentral's name for it is "long non-coding RNA NONPTRT018415". The record is from RNAcentral. Lineage: Eukaryota; Metazoa; Chordata; Mammalia; Primates; Hominidae.